CCUACGGGAGGCAGCAGUGGGGAAUAUUGCACAAUGGGGGAAACCCUGAUGCAGCAACGCCGCGUGAGUGAAGAAGUAUUUCGGUAUGUAAAGCUCUAUCAGCAGGGAAGAAAAUGACGGUACCUGAGUCAGAAGCCCCGGCUAACUACGUGCCAGCAGCCGCGGGAAUACGUAGGGGGCAAGCGUUAUCCGGAUGUACUGGGUGUAAAGGGGGCGUAGACGGUGAGACAAGUCUGAAGUGAAAGCCCGGGGCUCAACCCCGGGACUGCUUUGGAAACUGCCUGACUGGAGUGCUGGAGAGGCAAGCGGAAUUCCUAGUGUAGCGGUGAAAUGCGUAGAUAUUAGGAAGAACACCAGUGGCGAAGGCGGCUUGCUGGACAGUAACUGACGUUGAGGCUCGAAAGCGUGGGGAGCAAACAGGAUUAGAUACCCGGGUAGUC
Molecule: ribosomal RNA, 440 nt
Filed under: uncultured bacterium
Lineage: Bacteria
Description: partial 16S ribosomal RNA
Rfam family: Bacterial small subunit ribosomal RNA
Source: RNAcentral